CCCUAUGGGGUGCAGCAGGCGAGAAAACUUUGCAAUGUGCGAAAGCACGACAAGGUUAAUCCGAGUGUUUCCUGCUAAAGGAAUCUUUUGUUAGUCAUAAAACCACUAUUGAAUAAGGGGUGGGCAAGUUCUGGUGUCAGCCGCCGCGGUAAAACCAGCACCUCAAGUGGUCAGGAGGUUUAUUGGGCCUAAAGCAUCCGUAGCCUGAUCUAUAAGUUUCCGGUUAAAUCCAAAUGCUCAACAUUUGGGCUGCCGGAAAAACUGUAGAUCUAGGGAGUGGGAGAGGUAGACGGUACUCGGUAGGAAGGGGUAAAAUCCUUUGAUCUAUUGAUGACCACCAGUGGCGAAGGCGGUCUACCAGAACACGUUCGACGGUGAGGGAUGAAAGCUGGGGGAGCAAACCGGAUUAGAUACCCGGGUAGUCCCAGCUGUAAACGAUGCAGACUCGGUGAUGCAUUGGCUUGUGGCCAGUGCAGUGCCGCAGGGAAGCCGUUAAGUUUGCCGCCUGGGAAGUACGUACGCAAGUAUGAAACUUAAAGGAAUUGGCGGGGGAGCACCACAAGGGGUGAAGCCUGCGGUUCAAUUGGAGUCAACGCCAGAAAUCUUACCCGGAGAGACAGCAGAAUGAAGGUCAAGCUGAAGACUUUACCAGACAGCUGAGAAGUAGUGCAUGGCCA
This 677-nucleotide ribosomal RNA is filed under the name uncultured marine group I thaumarchaeote. RNAcentral's name for it is "bacterial SSU rRNA". It matches the Rfam family "Archaeal small subunit ribosomal RNA", at positions 321 to 1000 of the family's 1478-position model. Lineage: Archaea; Thermoproteati; Nitrososphaerota. The record is from RNAcentral.